This 253-nucleotide ribosomal RNA is filed under the name uncultured bacterium. Its description in RNAcentral is "partial 16S ribosomal RNA". It matches the Rfam family "Bacterial small subunit ribosomal RNA", at positions 524 to 776 of the family's 1533-position model. The record is from RNAcentral.
UACGAAGGGGGCUAGCGUUGCUCGGAAUUACUGGGCGUAAAGCGCACGUAGGCGGCUCUUUAAGUCGGAGGUGAAAUCCUGGAGCUCAACUCCAGAACUGCCUUCGAUACUGGCGAUCUUGAGUCCGGAAGAGGUGAGUGGAACUCCUAGUGUAGAGGUGGAAUUCGUAGAUAUUAGGAAGAACACCAGUGGCGAAGGCGGCUCACUGGUCCGGUACUGACGCUGAGGUGCGAAAGCGUGGGGAGCAAACAGG